Long non-coding RNA from Oncorhynchus tshawytscha (Chinook salmon), 4709 nucleotides. Lineage: Eukaryota; Metazoa; Chordata; Actinopteri; Salmoniformes; Salmonidae. The record is from Ensembl.
AUUUUUCAUUAUGGUGCUUUGUGUGUAGAUUGAGAAUGUUUUUAUUUAAUCUGAGUCUGAAUACUUUCUGUGUGUGUGUGUGUGUGUGUAGAUUAUUUAUAAAGCCAGUCACAUUUAGCAGGUAGUCAAUUGAUUAUAGACCUAAUUAAGUUGGGGUUUCCUCUCCUAAUUUUCCUUAGACAAUUAAGGCAAUGGCUGUUUUCACGUCUCCUCACUUUCCUUAGACAAUAAGGUGAGGGCUGUUUCCUCUCUCAUCACUUUCCGUAGACAGUAAGGUGAGGGCUGUUUCCUCUCUCCUCACUUUCCUUAGACAAUAAGGUGAGGGCUGUUUCCUCUCUACUCACUUUUCUUAGACAAUAAGGUGAGAGCUGUUUCCUCUCUCCUCACUUUCCUUAGACAAUAAGGUGAGGGCUGUUUCCUCUCUCAUCACUUUCUGUAGACAAGGUGAGGGCUGUUUCCUCUCUCCUCACAUUUCUUAGACAAUUAAGGCAAUGGCUGUUUUCACGUCUCCUAACUCUGCCGCAUUGUUCGCCACACCAAUAUGCUGGUUAACUUUGCUCUUAUUCAUAUAGCAACAUGGUCUAGGAAAAGGUGCCAAUUCAACAGCGCAAUGUUCCAGAACCCUGGACAGUGACCGCUGUCUGGCGCGGGAGAAAGUGAAUUUGUUAUCAAACAAUGUUAUUUUUAUUGGUGUUGCGCCAUUGUUCUUACAAAAUAUAACAAUAUACAAUUUCAGUAGCACAUGUCUUAGAGUGAUGGACUGUGCCAUCCCCACAGCCUCCACAAUGGAGUAGUUCACUUACACACUUUUUUCUUUUGCUCGACCGAAGAAAUCUCGGUCUACCAACAGCCUAUCAAUCAACCAGUCGAAUAAGUGGGGGCAGCUCUAAUCCACAUAUAGAUGACAUUUACAAUUUAACAGAUUGACCAAUAGCAUUUAUGUAAAUAUUGAGAAGAACAGGUUCUAGUAUUGUCCCCUGUGGAACACCUUUAUGUAUUUCAAGAAUUUCGGACUUGACCCCAUCAAUCACCAUGGCCUUAGUUCCGUCACUAAGAUGUUCAUGAAAGCAUGAACAGGUGUCAGAGCUCAGGCCUAUCGAGGACAACUUAUUCAAUAACAUAGCAUGAUCAACCGUAUCAAAAGCUUUUGACAGGUCCACAAACAAAGCAGCACAUUUAAUUUUAGAGUCUAAAGCAUUGACAACCAAAGUGGCUGCUCUAAUAGUGCUAUGACCAGGCCUAAACCCUGAUUUGGUUUACAUUCUAAAUACAUUUCUCAGAUUAAAAAAAGGGCAAAGUUGUACAUUUACCAAUGAUUCAAGAAUCUUAGCUAGACAAAGAAGCGUUGAAAUUGGGCACUAAUUAUUUUUGAUCACUACUAUCCCCACCCUUAUGGAGUUGGCAGCACGAGAUGAUUUCCAUACUUUUGGAAUUUGUCCUGACAACAAUGUUAAACAAAAAAUGUGGGUUAUUGAGCCAACAAUGAUGGGCGCAGCACAAUUAAAUGAUUUGAUACUGAGAGGGCUACAUUGGACCUUUUUAACUAAAGGUGAUUGCUUUACCGUAACAUUCUAGAGGUGGGGGACUUGGUCAAAUUCCUUUCAACCUCAAAAGGACUGGACUGCUGUCUUCCAGCACCGAGGCGGGCCCUUUCCCCUGAGCAUGGAGUUUUCCCAAACUUCCUCUAUUUCGAAUCAAGUAUCAGGAUUUCAUGGUUUUUGACCCUACUCAUGGUUCGUUAGAUUGUUCAGCUACUUUGUGUAAAGUGUAAAACGGACACAUUUUUCUCGCUCUUGGAUUAACAUGUAUGAGUUUCUCUUCCUUUGAUCCACUGAUUGAAUCGUGAUAAGUAUUUAUGAAGUGAAGUUGGGUAGGCUUCGAAGGCUGAAAGAGAAUUAGCAUUAGAAAAAGUAAUUGUCCAUUAGGUUUGCACAAAAUGGAAAAUUUGCUUUGGCGCUCUUGGCAUUGAACGGAUAAAAAAAAUCUACAUAAAAACUUAAGGAUAAAAACACAUAAAAAUGCACAUUCCACACUGAGCUUUUCCAUGUCUGUUCACCAUAGAGGAUCGUCACUGCAGGGGGGAUGAAGGAUUGUUUUGUAAACUUUUUUUUUUUUUUUUGCAUGUGGCACCUUUAAUCUCCGACCGGGCGGCAGCAUGUUGAAGGGUGCGUGCUGUGGGUGGGUGUUUUCGUUGUGGACCUAGAGUUUUCCUUUUAUAGUGUUCUAUAUCUGGAAUAAGUCGAGGAGUAUGUAUACCUUCUGAAGGAAUUGUCGGUCACAAAGGCAUAUCAGUAGCAGGUGAGGUUGCACUGUGUUAAAGGCUGAGAAACUUCAUUAAUAAGAUCCUGACAUUAUCUUCUCACCUUAGGUGACUUCACUCCUACGUGAUGCUCGUCCCUCAACAGGUCUGUCUUGUAGGACAUGGAACUUUAAACAUUUAGAUUUUACUCAUCCGCCCAACACUAGUUCCUGAUUCUUAAAAUCACUCCGCUCUCAGUAGCUAAUAUGCGCUGGCUACUGCGGCAGACCAUGUUUGAUCAGCUGAGCAAGAGGGGAGGAGACAAAGCCAAAAUCUGUCCAAAAUAAGCAAUUCUAUGGUCUUAUUUUUUGAACCCUUAUUUUACCAUGUAAGUUGACUGAGAAUACAUUCACAUUUACAGCAAUGACCUAUGUAAUAGUUACAGGGGAGAGGAGGGGGGAUGAAUGACCCAAUUGUAAGCUGGGGAUGAUUAGGUGACCGUUUAUGGUAUGAGGGCCAGAUUGGGAAUUUAGCCAAGACACAGGAGUUAACACCCCUACUCUUACAAUAAGUGCCAUGGGAUCUUUAAUGACCACAGAGUCAGGACCCCCGUUUAACGUCCCAUCCGAAAGACUGCACCCUACACAGGGAAAGGUUCAGGCUCCUACUUGCUGUGUUAAAAAAAGUCAAGUGACACUGACUAGCACCUGUUGUCUCCCUCUCCUCCCUGCUGCAGCGACCACCACAGAACUUCAACAGUGUUUAUCAUGCUGUCCGUGUUGUUGAAGCUGCAACAUAACUACAGCCAUUUCUGACUGAAAAGUCCUGUUACCGAAAUCCCACAUUUGUUUCGGAAAAACAUUCCCUAUUCCCUCAACGCCUGUUCUCUUUACUUGUAUGCAUCGCAUCCAUGUGACCAAUAGGGCCCGGCCUAUAGCAUCUCAUAAUCAAAUCAAUAAAUUGGUUAUAACAAACUCUGAAAAUAAAAGAGAGCCGCACACUCUAGGAGCUCAGAUGCAAAAAUGUAAUUACCAACGUUUCGACAGCCAAGCUAUCUUCAUCAGGGUAUAUAACAAACUCUGAACACGUGACCGCAACAUGGAUGCAGAGGACAUGACCAAUAAAGUUGAAACGGUAAUGUUUACUGGUUGCGCAGGGAGGUUAAAGGGAAGUCUGAUGUGUGGAGUAAAUGUGACUAAGUUGUGUAAAAUACUAGAGUGCUGUUGGACCAUUUUGGUACCAUGUAAACAACACUAAAUAUAUUAGAAGUGUACUAGAGAGUAAAGUUUUUUGGGGUUUUGUAAAGCCUUUAUUACAGCAAAGAUUAAACCAUCACAUUCAUUUGUGAAUGCAAUUUCCCAAAAGGAAAUGGUUCAUUAUUUACGGUAAUUAUUUUGCAUUUCAAAUCAUGAAUGACUCGUAUGCUCUGUGAUGACUUUAACGAUGAUGAUGAUAACAUAAGGAGAUCAAGAAGAAAGAAGCAUUGUUAUUAUGAAUAUUGUUUUUCUGAAAAUUUGGAACAGAGUAAACUACAUUAAAUAAUACCAGCAGCUGUUUUAAUGAAAAAAGUCUGAAGCCUUUAUAGCAGCAUAGCAAAGACUAAAAACAGACCAUUUUGUAAAAUGGUUUAAUCUGACAUGUUGUGUGAUGCUUAGUGCUCACGGAAUCAGUAGGCUAUUAAACAAACACUCAAAAAGAAGCAGGAUCUGUCGAUGAAUAUGGAUGAUUUAUAAAGCCAAGCACAUUUAACAGUUAGGCUAUUGAUUAUAGACCUAAUUAAGUUGGUCUCCUCUCUACUCACUUUUUAUAUACUAUUAUAGAGAAUUUAUAGACUAUUAUAGAGAAUUAAGGCAAGAGCUGUAUUCUUGCCUCCGCCACGUUGUUCUCAACACCAACAUGCUGGUUAACUUUGCUACUGUGCACAUAGUGGUUGCUCAAUGAAAAGUGUUGUGAUUAUACUGCUGGAGGUCAUUUGUGGUUUAGUACAGUACCCUGCAUCACUGCUUCAUUUCUCCAGACCAGUGCAAGGGGGAGUUAGAGCACUGAUUUAUGAUUUUGGGUCCCAAGGCUCUACUGUGGCUCUAACUGACAAUGAAUGGGCGUUCUAAACCAAGUAGAAACUGAUAAUUGUGCACUACUUCAAAAUUGAAUUUCAAUUAACUGAAUGAUGAGGAUGAAGAAGGUGAUUGAAUUUAAAACAAUAGUGUAAGAAUUGCUAUUCUUAUGUUCUGCACGCGCACACCUGGAAAAAUACACACUUUUGUUGUUUCUACUUGUCAGUAUUAUUUAGUAAAACUGUUGUUAUCCUGUUUUUAUUCUAAGAGAAAUGAAAAUUCCAUGAUAUUCUUAAGAUAUGUGUUGACUGAAUAUAAUCAAGUUGAUGCCGCAGUCAUAUAGCCUCGGCACCUACAUCAAGCUGAGUGACUCAGUCAUAUAGCCUCGGCACCUACAUCAAGUUGAUGCCGCAGUC